AUUGAACGCUGGCGGCAGGCCUAACACAUGCAAGUCGAGCGGAUGAAGGGAGCUUGCUCCUGGAUUCAGCGGCGGACGGGUGAGUAAUGCCUAGGAAUCUGCCUGGUAGUGGGGGAUAACGUCUGGAAACGGGCGCUAAUACCGCAUACGUCCUGAGGGAGAAAGUGGGGGAUCUUCGGACCUCACGCUAUCAGAUGAGCCUAGGUCGGAUUAGCUAGUUGGUGGGGUAAAGGCCUACCAAGGCGACGAUCCGUAACUGGUCUGAGAGGAUGAUCAGUCACACUGGAACUGAGACACGGUCCAGACUCCUAAGGGAGGCAGCAGUGGGGAAUAUUGGACAAUGGGCGAAAGCCUGAUCCAGCCAUGCCGCGUGUGUGAAGAAGGUCUUCGGAUUGUAAAGCACUUUAAGUUGGGAGGAAGGGCAGUAAGUUAAUACCUUGCUGUUUUGACGUUACCAACAGAAUAAGCACCGGCUAACUUCGUG
This 484-nucleotide ribosomal RNA is filed under the name uncultured bacterium. RNAcentral describes it as "partial 16S ribosomal RNA". It matches the Rfam family "Bacterial small subunit ribosomal RNA", at positions 30 to 507 of the family's 1533-position model. The record is from RNAcentral.